This 245-nucleotide ribosomal RNA is filed under the name uncultured bacterium. RNAcentral's name for it is "partial 16S ribosomal RNA". It matches the Rfam family "Bacterial small subunit ribosomal RNA", at positions 524 to 768 of the family's 1533-position model. The record is from RNAcentral.
UACGUAGGGGGCAAGCGUUGUCCGGAUUUACUGGGUGUAAAGGGUGCUCAGGUGGCUGUGUAAGUCAGAGGUGAAAUUUCAGGGCUUAACUCUGAAACUGCCUUUGAUACUAUACAGCUUGUGUACGGAAGAGGGUGAUGGAAUUCCUGGUGUAGCAGUGAAAUGCGUAGAUAUCAGGAAGAACACCAGUGGCGAAGGCGGUCACCUGGUCCGUUACAGACACUAAAGCACGAAAGCGUGGGGAG